Molecule: ribosomal RNA, 878 nt
Filed under: uncultured bacterium
Lineage: Bacteria
Description: bacterial SSU rRNA
Rfam family: Bacterial small subunit ribosomal RNA
Source: RNAcentral
UUUAUUGGGCGUAAAGCGAGCGCAGGCGGUUAGAUAANUCUGAAGUUAAAGGCUGUGGCUUAACCAUAGUACGCUUUGGAAACUGUUUAACUUGAGUGCAGAAGGGGAGAGUGGAAUUCCAUGUGUAGCGGUGAAAUGCGUAGAUAUAUGGAGGAACACCGGUGGCGAAAGCGGCUCUCUGGUCUGUGACUGACGCUGAGGCUCGAAAGCGUGGGGAGCGAACAGGAUUAGAUACCCUGGUAGUCCACGCCGUAAACGAUGAGUGCUAGGUGUUAGGCCCUUUCCGGGGCUUAGUGCCGCAGCUAACGCAUUAAGCACUCCGCCUGGGGAGUACGACCGCAAGGUUGAAACUCAAAGGAAUUGACGGGGGCCCGCACAAGCGGUGGAGCAUGUGGUUUAAUUCGAAGCAACGCGAAGAACCUUACCAGGUCUUGACAUCCCGAUGCCCGCUCUAGAGAUAGAGUUUUACUUCGGUACAUCGGUGACAGGUGGUGCAUGGUUGUCGUCAGCUCGUGUCGUGAGAUGUUGGGUUAAGUCCCGCAACGAGCGCAACCCUUAUUGUUAGUUGCCAUCAUUCAGUUGGGCACUCUAGCGAGACUGCCGGUAAUAAACCGGAGGAAGGUGGGGAUGACGUCAAAUCAUCAUGCCCCUUAUGACCUGGGCUACACACGUGCUACAAUGGCUGGUACAACGAGUCGCAAGUCGGUGACGGCAAGCUAAUCUCUUAAAGCCAGUCUCAGUUCGGAUUGUAGGCUGCAACUCGCCUACAUGAAGUCGGAAUCGCUAGUAAUCGCGGAUCAGCACGCCGCGGUGAAUACGUUCCCGGGCCUUGUACACACCGCCCGUCACACCACGAGAGUUUGUAACACCCGAAGUCG